RNAcentral lists this ribosomal RNA (433 nucleotides) under uncultured bacterium. Its description in RNAcentral is "partial 16S ribosomal RNA". It matches the Rfam family "Bacterial small subunit ribosomal RNA", at positions 29 to 507 of the family's 1533-position model. The record is from RNAcentral.
AGCGAACGCUGGCGGCAGGCUUAACACAUGCAAGUCGAGCGGGCACUUCGGUGUCAGCCGCAGACGGGUGAGUCACACGUGGGAACGUACCCUUCGGUUCGGCAUAACUCUGGGAAACUAGCGCUAAUAGCGAAUACGCCCUUUUGGGGAAACGUUUACUGACGAAGGAUCGGCCCGCGUCUGAUACGCUCGUUGGUGGGGUAAUGGCAUACCAAGGCGAGGAUCAGUAGCUGGUCUGAGAGGAUGAUCAGCCACACUGGGACUGAGACACGGCCCAGACUCCUCCGGGAGGGAGGAGUGGGGGAUAUUGGACAAUGGGCGCAAGGCUGAUCCAGCCAUGCCGGGUGAGUGAUGAAGGCCUUAGGGUUGUAAAGUUCAAUUGUCCGGGACGAUAAUGACGGUACCGGAAGAAUAAGCCCCGGCUAACUACGUG